Molecule: small nucleolar RNA, 96 nt
Filed under: Phaseolus vulgaris (common bean)
Lineage: Eukaryota; Viridiplantae; Streptophyta; Magnoliopsida; Fabales; Fabaceae
Description: Small nucleolar RNA snoR31/Z110/Z27
Rfam family: Small nucleolar RNA snoR31/Z110/Z27
About the family: This family contains several related snoRNAs including R31, Z27 and Z110. Family members belong to the C/D class of snoRNAs which contain the C (UGAUGA) and D (CUGA) box motifs.
Source: Rfam by way of RNAcentral
UAUAUCAUGUGAUGAAAUUGGAAUAAUCUUAGGACACCUUCCUACACAGCAGAACACUGCUGUGGAUGAGAAUGACUUUUCCAUACUGAUGAUAUA